AUGCCGAGCUCAGGCGGCGGCGCUGGUCCGGACCUCCGAGGGAUCAGACCGUCCUUCGUCGACCUCUGCUUCCUCUUCCUCAAGACCUUGGCCGCCUGUGCCGCCUCACUGUCCCAGCUCGCGGCCAUCUCCAACGCCUCCUCCCACGCCUACGCGCACCCCGGAUGCCACCUUCUUCGACGCGACGUCGUCGACACCGUCGCCAACAAGUACGGCUGGGACCCUGACACUGAGGUCCCGGUCUGGCCGCUCAACACCGAGGGCGCGCUCAUCGGCGCCAUUCAGCGGUACGAGUUCCGCGCCGGUGCGGGAGGCGCCGCGGUCGCGCUGGCACGGGCCUCUGACGGGGCCGUCAACUAG
This 360-nucleotide ribosomal RNA is filed under the name Triticum aestivum (bread wheat). RNAcentral's name for it is "partial small subunit ribosomal RNA". The record is from RNAcentral. Lineage: Eukaryota; Viridiplantae; Streptophyta; Magnoliopsida; Poales; Poaceae.